Molecule: long non-coding RNA, 1472 nt
Organism: Homo sapiens (human)
Lineage: Eukaryota; Metazoa; Chordata; Mammalia; Primates; Hominidae
Gene: TRIM7-AS1
Product: TRIM7 antisense RNA 1
Exons: 2
Source: RefSeq, a predicted model, not a curated record
UCUGUUUCUGUCCCAGGAGGAGAAGUUGGAGAGGGACUUGAACAUGGAGACAUAACAUUUGGCCAGUGGCCUGAGUCAUCCCACAGGGCAAGGCUUCGUCCCUGUCACUGCUGGAGGAUCGGAGACACACCCACCUACGCACGCAGUGCGUGCUCUAUUGUCAGUGUCCCAGCUCUGAACAAGCUGUAGUCUGGACACAUGCUCUUUUCUCCCCUGCCACAGAUGCACCCACACAUGUCUGUGGACCUGUGCUCCAUCACCUAAACCAAGGCAGCUUCAUACUCCCCCCAGAACUACGCCAAGCUGCAGCUUCCUCACUUGAAAAGCAGAAGGGAUAAAUUAGUGCCUCCUGGGGCAACCAUAGGAUUAAACUGAGAUUGCUUUUUCUUCCUCAAGCACAUUUAUUUCAUCACCCUCAAACUUUUACACUUCACUUUCUUUUUAAAGGCCAUCUUUCCUGUUUAGCAGUUAUAAUGCUAACACAUGCUCAAAAUACAAAACUUGGGAGAUGUAGGAAAGUAGAAAGAAGGAAGAAAAGUCCGAUGCCAGUGACCAGAGGUAGCAGCACACCCCCAAGGAACGAAGUGAGAAUAUGCGGCAUGCAAGUGUCAUAUUCUGUUCUUUCCAUUAACAGCAUACACCGGAUUUUUUACUCGAGUUUUCAGAUGCAGACUCAUGCCCUGAUCUCUUGAUUUUUUAUGUGAACACACGUUUGGCACUCAAUAUGUCCCACCAGGAAGUUCCUCUUCCUUAAAACUCCUGGGCGGAGGAAGGGAGUCCUGUGAAGUUGGGAGACCUGGGUUCAAGGUGUCCUACAAUGCCCCCACCUUUCCUUCAGCUUCCAGGCAGGCUGCAGUAGCCUGGAGCGCCUUAUGGAUAUUAACUCCCUCAACCCUGACGGCAGCCCAGUGGGGAGGGUGCACUUCCCUUCAAGUCUUACAGGUGGAGUCUCGCUCUGUCUCCCAGGCUGGAGUGCAGUGGCGCGAUCUCGGCUCACUGCAAGCUCUGCCUCCCGGGUUCACACCAUUCUCCUGCCUCAGCCUCCGGAGUAGCUGGGACUACAGGCGCCCGCCACCACGCCCGGCUAUUUUGUAUUUUUAGUAGAGACAGGGGUUUCACCGUGUUUGCCAGGACGGUCUUGAUCUCCUGACCUCGUGAUCCGCCCACCUCGGCCUCCCAAAGUGCUGGGAUUACAGGCGUGAGCCACCCUGCCAGGCCUCAUGUUUGCUUAUCUUAACCAAAAUGAGCCCUCGUUUCACUUUCCUGUUCUACCCUAAGGAAGAUAAAAUAUCAUUCCAACUUGGGGUAGAGGCAGGUGCCAGUACCCAAGACCCUGGGCUGUGCAGCAGGGGCUACUGUAAACCCAAGACCCUAAACUUCCUCCCUCUGCCAGAGCCAGGGAGCAGCUCUGACGCCCUCUAGCCCCUUCUCCGUUAGCCUCGAUUUCAAAUAAAAACACUGUGAACAUGAAA